This 491-nucleotide ribosomal RNA is filed under the name uncultured bacterium. RNAcentral's name for it is "partial 16S ribosomal RNA". It matches the Rfam family "Bacterial small subunit ribosomal RNA", at positions 29 to 507 of the family's 1533-position model. The record is from RNAcentral.
AGUGAACGCUGGCGGUAGGCCUAACACAUGCAAGUCGAGCGGCAGCACAGUAAGAGCUUGCUCUUACGGGUGGCGAGUGGCGGACGGGUGAGGAAUACAUCGGAAUCUACUUUUUCGUGGGGGAUAACGUAGGGAAACUUACGCUAAUACCGCAUACGACCUACGGGUGAAAGCAGGGGAUCUUCGGACCUUGCGCGAUUGAAUGAGCCGAUGUCGGAUUAGCUAGUUGGCGGGUAAAGGCCCACCAAGGCGACGAUCCGUAGCUGGUCUGAGAGGAUGAUCAGCCACACUGGAACUGAGACACGGUCCAGACUCCUACGGGAGGCAGCAGUGGGGAAUAUUGGACAAUGGGCGCAAGCCUGAUCCAGCCAUACCGCGUGGGUGAAGAAGGCCUUCGGGUUGUAAAGCCCUUUUGUUGGGAAAGAAAAGCAGCAGGUUAAUACCCCGCUGUUCUGACGGUACCCAAAGAAUAAGCACCGGCUAACUUCGUG